This is a long non-coding RNA of Salvia hispanica, 1447 nucleotides long. RefSeq lists it as uncharacterized. Lineage: Eukaryota; Viridiplantae; Streptophyta; Magnoliopsida; Lamiales; Lamiaceae. The record is from RefSeq and is a predicted model, not a curated record.
UAUACUCCUUACGUCUCUUUCCCUUUCUCCCUCAACUCUCCCUCUAUUUCUUCUCCCCCUCGCCUCUCUCUCUCGAAUCUCGAAUCUGUCGCCGCCGCUGCACGGGCGGCGGUUCCCCGGCCUCCCCACGCCUCGCACUGCCAGAGCAGUUUCCCGACGCCCCGACGGCCGCUGCCUCAUCGCCGACUCCUGAGAGGUGGGUGAAAUCAGUGAUGCAUCGGGCUGUGGGGCUGCUACUGUCGUCGAUAGGGUGCCGAAGAUUAGUCGCCGGAGUCCCGACAGAUUUAUACUCUCGAGACAAGUUCUUAUUUUGUGAAGAAUUGCUAUUUGUUGUUUUGGUAGCUAAAGUGAAGAAUUGUUAUUCUUGAUCUACAUGCUUAUAUGCAAAUUUUGAGAAAAGAAAAGUGCUUGGAGUUUACUUUCAUUACGUGGGAAAAUGUGUUGUUGGAUUGUGGGACUUGACCCUGUAAUUGUUUGCAACUCUCCCCCUUUUCUUACUCCUUCUCUCUCCUUCGGAUGGUUGAAAGUUUUGGAGUGAGUUCCUAUUGUUUUGUAAGUGACGCUGGAAAAAGGAAAGCUCGUUCCCAUAUAUAUACAUUUACCUUGCCUAGCUUAGCUUGUACAUAUCUCUGAUUUGAUAUGCUUAGAUCUUUAGCAGGGAUUUAAUAUCUUACUUGGCAUAAUCUGCUCCCUCAAUCUCCUGAACAAAUCUUGCAAUGAGAUUAUGCAUUAAAUGUCUACUAUCCACUUGCACAUUACUUUAUCUCCUCAUAGUAUUUUAUUUGAUAGAGUAUGUGAAAGUGAUUGAGAGCAGAAGGAACUUUGUUUCUAUUUAUAGGCUAAAAUAAUUUAUGUUGCAUUCUUUCUAUGAAAUCUCUGAAAUUAGAUUCGUAUUGAAUGCAAAUACUGUAUAAGAUUGGUGAUAGAUAUGAAGAAGUUACCACGUAGUCCCACUUGCAAUUAUUAUAUCUAUUUCCUUAAGAUUUUAUUUGAUAUGGGAAUAAAUGAUCUCCUCAGUAAAUCUUAUGGAAAAUCUUCUCAAAGAUUAGCUUAGAUUUCUCAAUCUAUCUCACCGUAGAUUUUGAUCUUGGCAUUAAGUGCAAGAUCUUAUAUGAUUUCUACAAAUUUUCCCAUUUUACGCAGGAACAUACAUUGGCGGAGGUCGGUGACGUGUUGGACUUUGUUGGGAUGCUAGCAGUGUUGUCAAACGGGCUGCCCGAGACUUGCACAUCUUUCGCUUCCGAUCAUAAUAGGCUAGGCUUUAAUUAUAUUGUAAUAUUAGACUUGAUUCGUGUAUCGGGUAUUACGACUUUUACUUUGAAUUUAUUCUUUGGAUAGUCAUUGAAAAUAAUUGCUAAAUAGCACAAAAGUUUAUUAGAUGUCUCGUCUAUAUUUUCUUAACUCAAUGUAAGAUUCUUUCAUAUUUUAGUGCCGCUUUGAAAUAUCU